UUCUGGGGCGGUGUUUACCGACUCUUCUUCUCUGCCUCCGCCCUGCUCUUGGCUGGGGCGUCAAGCCUUUCUGUUUUUCAGCCAGAUCCGCGAAAACGAAAACACAGCUCGGGGAACCCCACCAGCAGUCGCCUAUGCCAGCUCACCUCUGGCCGUGGUGCAGCUGCUGGUGCACGCAGCCCGGCAAAGCUAGCUCCAUAUUCUUCCCUCCCCUUCCCACUUUACUGAAGCCCGGAGCCCUGGAUGCAGAGGAAGGGCCUCAGCUCCACAGACUGCCAAAGUGGAGACCCGGUCCCUCCUCACCAAACAUGGUGAGGCAAGAUUUCAUCUUGUCUGCUAAGGAGCCACAAGCAG
Non-coding RNA from Tupaia belangeri (northern tree shrew), 354 nucleotides. The record is from Rfam. Lineage: Eukaryota; Metazoa; Chordata; Mammalia; Scandentia; Tupaiidae.